Long non-coding RNA from Anopheles moucheti, 302 nucleotides. RefSeq lists it as uncharacterized. The record is from RefSeq and is a predicted model, not a curated record. The transcript has 4 exons. NCBI's taxonomy places the organism in Eukaryota, Metazoa, Arthropoda, Insecta, Diptera, Culicidae.
GCUCCAAAAAGGACAUCGGAAGCUCUCCCAAGAAGCUUUCAUCCAGAAGGUUGCCAGCGUUUCAUACACACAAACACACAGUUGUGCUCCUAAUUGCCAAACCGGAAGGACUUCAUUACUGUCCAGGAUUCUUGGCACCGGGCCGGACGAAGAAGCAUCUCUCUCGGCAUGGCACAAAGGAUCUUUGGCAACAUUCAAAAGUGACGCUUCCAGUGACGACAAAUACAUAAGUGCAACACACCGCCUGCUCUGAUCGACGGGCGUCGGAACAUUUUAACAAACCCAACAAACCGCAAAUGAAA